CCUCGCGCCAUUAGAUGAGCCUAGGUCGGAUUAGCUAGUUGGUGAGGUAAUGGCUCACCAAGGCGACGAUCCGUAACUGGUCUGAGAGGAUGAUCAGUCACACUGGAACUGAGACACGGUCCAGACUCCUACGGGAGGCAGCAGUGGGGAAUAUUGGACAAUGGGCGAAAGCCUGAUCCAGCCAUGCCGCGUGUGUGAAGAAGGUCUUCGGAUUGUAAAGCACUUUAAGUUGGGAGGAAGGGUAGUAACCUAAUACGUUGCUACUUUGACGUUACCGACAGAAUAAGCACCGGCUAACUUCGUGCCAGCAGCCGCGGUAAUACGAAGGGUGCAAGCGUUAAUCGGAAUUACUGGGCGUAAAGCGCGCGUAGGUGGUUCAGUAAGUUGGAAGUGAAAUCCCCGGGCUCAACCUGGGAACUGCUUUCAAAACUGCUGAGCUAGAGUACGGUAGAGGGUGGUGGAAUUUCCUGUGUAGCGGUGAAAUGCGUAGAUAUAGGAAGGAACACCAGUGGCGAAGGCGACCACCU
Molecule: ribosomal RNA, 527 nt
Filed under: Pseudomonas sp.
Lineage: Bacteria; Pseudomonadati; Pseudomonadota; Gammaproteobacteria; Pseudomonadales; Pseudomonadaceae
Description: bacterial SSU rRNA
Rfam family: Bacterial small subunit ribosomal RNA
Source: RNAcentral